This 214-nucleotide unclassified non-coding RNA is filed under the name air metagenome. RNAcentral's name for it is "partial contains small subunit ribosomal RNA, internal transcribed spacer 1, and 5.8S ribosomal RNA". The stretch from base 1 to 46 matches the Rfam family "Eukaryotic small subunit ribosomal RNA", at positions 1786 to 1831 of the family's 1831-position model. The record is from RNAcentral.
AAGUCGUAACAAGGUUUCCGUAGGUGAACCUGCGGAAGGAUCAUUAUUGAAUCAGGAGGCCCCCCCGUGGGGGGGUCUCUUAAUCCACUUUCACAUGUGCACCGUGGCCCCACGACAUUGUUGUCGUCGCCUUUUACAAAACUCUUAAUUGUAUCAGAAUGUUUUUAAAAAUGUCUUAAAAAUACAACUUUUAACAACGGAUCUCUUGGCUCUC